AGAGAGAACAGAGGAAAGCAACAGCUGGCUGGGGAAGCUCUCCUGGGUGGCUCUUGGCUGAGAGGGAGCUGGGGAAGGAGAUUGGGAAAUUGGCUGAAAUUGUCUGAGAUGGGCGAGGAGGAUACCUGAGGAAGAGCAAUAGCAAGGGCUCUAGAAUAAGACCAGUGGUGAUCCCCACGCAGAGGGAAGCUGGGAGUGAAGAGGCUGUGAGAAGGCUUAAAAUGAAGUGGCCUUGGGAAUCAUGACACAAGGCAGUUUGGGGUUUAGGGCAGACAGCUGUUCCAUAGUACAGGGUUCCAAGGCUGGAGCCUGCAGCAGUGGGAGGUCCUGGGCUUCCCUCUGGUACCACCAUAGAUAGUGGUAAAACACUGCAAUUGAGAGAAAGGUCUCUGAGAGGUGCAGUGGCUUAGAAGUGCAAGGAUUGCUUGAUCUCUGAUAUAAGGAGAGAGGAGGAGCCCCCUUCAGCCACAGGGGAAGGAUGUAAUGGUUGCCAGAGACUAGGCAAGGGACUUUUUUGGAGGAAGGUGGGAGACUUUGGAUUUGACUAAAUUGCCCUACUAGCCCUGGGUAGACAGUAGUCCUUUGGAAAACUGAGGCAUGAUCGCACACCUGCCUUCAGAGAGGCAUUCAGUAGUCUGGGCUUAAGAUACCUAAAAGAUAGACUGAAGCUUCGGCAUGAUGACCAUGGUUGACAUCUCCACUCCUUAGGCACAAUGGAGUUGUCCACCACAAGGACAGCUGGAGUGCUGGAGACAGAGGUGUUUAAGGGUCUUCUCUGACAUUGGUCACUGGAUGGAUGCUUUACCACUUUGUGCAAACCCACUGUCAGGGCUGUAUCAUGUACCAGGUACAUCACCUUUGAAAGAGUGGAACACUAGCUCUUAAAAGAAGAUGACCAUGUUUGGCUGCAGAAAUUUUGGGAAGAUAUGGUAACAUUUUGGAAGCUGCAGCAUUAUCCUUCCUCUCCUUUCAGCUUCCUGUUCCAUCUGCUGGAGGACAAUAUCUUCUAGGAAUAACUGGAAGUGCACAAGAUACCAGCAAAACUGCAGCAGUUUCACUGAAAGUAUCAAGGCCAGUUCUAGCAGCAGCAACAAAACCAAUAUGCUGUCUGGACAAUGUCGUUCUUUUCUUUUCAUGCCAGAGCGAGCUGUCUGAAGGAGCUCCAUCUGUUCCCCCUACGCUAGAUCCUGCAACGUGCUGAGCACUCAUGCCUCAAUGAAGAAAAGCACUUAAAUACAUGCUUCUGUUUAAGCACAUGCAUAGUCCUACUGAUAUCAGGUGAGCCCUCUCUGAGCCCAAGUCUGGGAGCUGCUGCAUGUCCUCAACUCCCACUGAACACAAUGUGCUUAAAGAUCAGUGUGAUUUAAUUGGAGUCAGGCACCUAAAUACCUUGUUGAGAAUUGAGUUGCAGGGCCUUGUAGAGAGUAUUCAGAACCCUGAAGGACUGGGCUAUUCCAGUGGAAGACAAUUUCAUGAGAGAGAAUGAUAGCCGUUCUAAUCAGCUGCUUCUAGCUUUAGGAAAAAAAAUAGCUUAUUUCUCAGACUUGGCCAUUUCUCAGCUUUGUUUUGCCUAGCAUUGUUAGUCCUGCUGUUGUGCUUGUUAUAGACAGAAGGGCCUUGCUUAGUGCAGUCAGCAUUGAGAUCCUUCCUUUUUUUUUUUAAAGAUUAAUUUGGAAGACUUCCCUGAUUAUACAUCUGUCACUGUAAUUUACACCUCUGAGGAUAAAGCUGAUUAAGGAAUCAGUGAGUGAUUAAUAUUAUUCAUGGAAGGCAGGGCUUUAAAGGGGGGUAUGUUAACCAAGGCCUGUGACUUAGGCAAGGUUUACUUUAAUUAUUCAGCUGGGUCCUGGCAAAUCUCAUCUGAAGCUGCAUAAACUGGUUCAAUAAAUACAAAGUCACCUGUCCUGUUGAUCAAAACUCAACCCAAAUCAUUAUCAUCCUUUUUUUUAAGCUGAAGUAAAGAAUUCUACUUUGCUUCACCCAUUCUUCAGAACUCCCUCAAAUGAUCCCUCCCUUUGCUGAACAAAUGAAAGUCCAGAUGCCAGCUGAUCCCUGCAUUGUAGAAAUCCUGCAUUACAUGGUGCUUCCUUCAGGUGUGCAAUGCAAUUUGGAGCCCCUCAGACUAGAAGCAGCACCCCAGGAGAGUAGAGUGGGUGGAGGGAUAAAAGGAGAGAAUUGGGUCAGAGUAGAUCAAGGGAAGGGUUAAAGUACAGGUUAGAAGGGAAGUAAGCCAAAGGACUGAGCUGACAGAAAGGGAAGGAACAGGCUGUUGUUUAGAUCAUGGCAGUGCCCAAAAUGAGCUAGGUGGUUUACAAAGGGGAAGAGACUAUCCUUGCCCUAGAGAGCAUAGAGUCUCAAAGUAUAUACAGUUUUUAUCUCUUGGUGAAGGGGGUCAUGCACCAUACAAGGUGGGACUGGAUGGGUCAACAGUCUGACCUGGAGAGAAAACCUUAUAGGCAUAUGAAAGGAAGAUGAGUGGUGGAAAUAGGAAUGGGCCUAAGGAAUAACAAUUGGGUUUAGUUCAGACACCAGCUGCUUUUCUCAGGCCACUAAAACAAAUGACAAUAGAUGGCCUCAUCUAACCUUUGCAGCAAUGAUAGGUGUUUGUUAUUGUCCUGUCUCGCAAAAGAUCUGGCUUCUAGCUGGUUAGAUAGCUAAUACAAGUGAAAAUUGUGGUUGUAUAUGUGCUACUUUUGAUCCAACUUCAACUCCUUCUAAGCUUGAAAAUGGCAUAUGUUGCUGCUUAACAUAGCGUAGAUUAGCAUAGCAAUGGAUCCCUUAAGGGAAACAGAGACCCCAAUGACUUUGUCUGGAGUAGGUAAAGCACUUGAGUUUAGGUCAGGUUUAGCUAAUGAGUGCUAGCAAAACCCAACCUCCAUUCAACCUUUUUCCUAGCGUAAACUCUUAAGCUCUAGCAAGUUAAGUUGUACCCUAGGCUCUUGUCUAAGCUAGAACAUAAAAAAGACAGGAGUCUCAGUUAAAUGGAGGUACCCUGCAUGGAUUAGUUAAGUCCAACUGAAACUCAGCCGCUUUCUCUAGUCAAGACAACGUCCAGCACAGAGUAGGAUCACUUUUUUCUUCUAGCUGCUCUUCUUUGGCUCUUUUCAUGCGUGGGUGUUUUUUUUUUUUGUUUUGUUUUUUGUUUUUUUUAAGGAAGGAGGCCAGGGUUCUUCAUUUUACAAUAUUCAUGUUGGAUGAUGAUGAGACAAUAGUUAGUAUAUCAUUUAAUUUGUAUUAUAUAUUAGCUUUGGCAGUGCAUACAUUAUAGUCAUGCUAAGAAAGUAACUUUGAUCUGACUUGUCCACACUACGGGCACAUCUGAGGUAACUUUUCAGGUAAUGAUUUGAUCCACUCUUUCUGAGGUACACAGUGAGUCAGUUCCUGGUGGAAAUCAUAUGUCUCUGCUACCUGUGUGUUCACAUAGGUUCCUUUUAUAUGCUGAUGUCCUGAUAUCAAACAGCUGUCAGCAAUACUCCCAAUAACAAUAGUUGUUGUUGGUGGCUGUUACUUUGUCCUUGGCCUGCAGCCCCUCCUCUCCACUCAUUCUCUGUUUCUUUGCCCUGUGUCUUCGUUCCAGGAUCUCAAACUAGCCAGACCCUGCACCUCAGACCAUUUCUUACUAUUUCUCCCUAUUUUGUUUGUGCUCCUGCUGUGCUGCUUGUCUAAGUGCUGUCACAGUUUCGGGGUAACAGCACCUCUUUUCCCUUGCAUGGUCAGCUCCGGGAAUCCCUCAGGCCUCCAGCCAUCACCUCUCUUUGGCUGGGGACUUGUGUCCUGUCCCUCCUGAAGAGGGGUUUUAGACUGCAGUCCCCUUGGACUUACUGAUUAUCUCCACCAGGUCAAACAAUCCCACUGAUCUUUAGCUUCUCCGGAAGGACAGUGAUGUACCAGAGACCACACAGCUGUUCCAGAGCAAAGUACAUUUUAUUCCAGGAUAAAAGCAUACGGAGAAAACAUAUAUAACAAAACCAGGAUCUAAAUACUUUACCAGUACCUCCCCUUCAAUCUCAUGGAGACAAUGCAGGUUCCAGUCUUUUCAGCAGUCUUUUCAGGUUGGGCCAAUCCUUGGACCAAAAGUCAGGUCUGUUUGCUGAAUCAGAAAGAAGUUAUUUCUUUGUCUCCUUGGCCUCUGGCAUCUGUUUGGACCAAUACAUGCAAACCAGCCUCAAGGGUGGUACUUCUCUGGAGCUGUUUAAAAUUCCAGGGACUGCAAUAAUCAACCCUCACCCCAACUGCUUUUAGUUCCUGGAGGAGCUGUGGUAACCCAUCCCCCAAAGGGGUAGAAUACAAUCCCUAGCCUACAACAAUACACAGAAGUUGUCCCCAGAGAUACUCCCCGGGGUUGCAAGUGUCACAAGUGUACUUGUCAUUUUGCACUUGAUGGCCAUCCAGAGGCUGGAGGACCUGAUCACGAGCAUGAAAACAAUUGGUCACAUGUUUUACUUGGCCCAAAGCAAAAGUAUGGGCUGUCAGUUACCACAUGGUAUCAUGGCAGUAUCUGUGGAUAUCAACAUGGUUUGGGACUUUCAGUCCCAGCACAUGUCUAGUGACAGGAUUCAACAAUGGCACUGACAGUCAUUAUACUCUGGCUGAGCACAGCAUUUACUGAUCAUUAUUCUAGUGCAGUGAGCAUGCUGAAAGUUUCUCAGUCAUAAGAAAUGGAUUCCUUUGGGUUUACCCUUCUAACUUUACUGAUGGUGCUGUGACUGGAAUAAUGAUGCAAGUCUCCUAUGUACAGCAGGCUCCACACACCAGCAUUUUGAUGCCCAUCCUCCCCUUCCCUCUGAUGACAGCAUUCACUUUCUUUUCUAUUUACCAACUAUGAGCAGCAUCUAAGUUACAACUUUUCUUUACUCAUUAGUCUACUGUGCGAACUCAGAGUCUGAUCCAGCCAAAUGCUGAGGCCAAGAAUUUUGAAUUCCUGUGCCUAAAUUCUAGGUGCCUACAUUUAUAUCAAGGGACCUAAAUAUGUAAACUGACUAUUUUCAGAGAUUCUCAGCUCCCACUUCAGGUAAGCACUUAAGCCAAUGCUUAAAUAUUGUCCUGAUUCAGGACUAUACUAGAUGGGUGCUGAGAAUCCUCAGCACCCUUCUGGAGGUGCUGAGCUCUGAACAGUAUCAGGCCCUAAUUAAGAAGCGAAUUGCAAAUAAUUUUAUGCACCUUUGAUAUUUUGGAAAUGGAUGAGACUUUCUGACUCAAAAUAUAUGUUCUGAUUUUCAGAAGUGCUGAGUAUUCUGCAACUCCCUUUGAAUUCUAUAUGAGCUGUGGGCGCGCAACACACUUGCAAAUUAGGCCAUAUUUUUCUUAUAUGAAAGGCUUGUCAAUGUCCAAAAGAUCAAAUGUGUGUAAAGUUAUUUUCACUUUGCUGCUUCAUAGCAAUAAAAGCAUGAGUCACUAUAACUUUCUGAGAAUAUUACGAUCAUCGGCACAAUAUUUCUCACACUGCAUGAUGAAUCCACAGCUGCAUGGUGUAUUAUAUGCUUCCGUUUAUUACGGGGGGAUGAUGAUGAUGAUGAUUCCUCAUCUCAAAUUUUACUGCAUUCUUUAUCAUUCACAAAUAUAACAGGUCUUCAUUCAACAGUCCAGAGCAGAAACCACAAUGUGUUAUAGAGCACUGAUGCAAACAAUGAGCCUGGAUGAUGUUGUGUCAUUGUCUUCCUUAUGUCUGAUCUAAAAUUUUUAUCUUUCUUACUUUUCAUCUUUUGUUCUAGCCUUCUCCCUUCUAUGUGAUGCUUUUACACCAGUUUCCAUAGUAACAACAUCUAUUGUAUCCAAGACUGCGUGAAAAAAAAAAUUCAUGCAGAUGUUGUCAUUGAUCCAACACCUUGCGGCAGCUCUUAUGGUGCAUUGUCCUCUUAUUUCUUGCUCUACUUUUUCCAUUUUCCCCUCAUUAAGAAUGGUUUCAGAGACUGUCCUCCUAUCUGAUGCUUUAGAUCUGAAGUGAGAAAAUAUUGGUUGGAUUUUAUUAUUAAUCUUAAUCCUUCUUCAGGUGGUUUCAGGGACAUCACCUGGCUACCAGACAGCCAACUACAGCUCUUGGUUACUUGCUUGUUAGAUACAGGUGCCCUUAAAUAAAAAUAUUAGAGGAAUCAAGAGUGAUUAGGACUGGAUGGCAUCAAUUAAAAACUGUCUCUGAAUGAGUUUGGAAAGCCUCUUGCAUUAAACCAGUUACAUACACAGAGGCUGCUAUUUUACUGCUGGCAUAAUUUGAUCAUAUCUUCCCCCGUCUCUCCCCCUCCCACAGCAAGAACUAACAAAGUUUCCAUAUUUUUGGCAAUGUUCUUUGUUCAUAACCUCUCCACUCACUCUCAUCUUUGCAGCCCGGCUUGAAGGAAAAGGGAGGGACACAGCAGAUCUGGGUUGAAAAGCUAGAACAUGGUUUACAGCUACAUAUCAUUUCAGUGGCAUGAAAAUCAGCAGCAGACUGGCAUAAUCAGCUAUUGUCUAUAAUUGUUUUGAAUUCUUUGCCAAUCAUUCCUUAUUGGGAUUGGACAUUAUUCUUUUGAUUAUAAGAACCUGACAGCCUGAUCAUAAUAAAUGUGUAACUGAA
Long non-coding RNA from Dermochelys coriacea (leatherback sea turtle), 6550 nucleotides. RefSeq lists it as uncharacterized. The record is from RefSeq and is a predicted model, not a curated record. The transcript is spliced from 3 exons. NCBI's taxonomy places the organism in Eukaryota, Metazoa, Chordata, Testudines, Dermochelyidae.